Molecule: non-coding RNA, 119 nt
Organism: Pteropus alecto (black flying fox)
Lineage: Eukaryota; Metazoa; Chordata; Mammalia; Chiroptera; Pteropodidae
Source: Rfam
GUCUACAGCCAUGCCACCCUGAAUAAGCCCCAUCUUGUCUGAUCUCGGAAGCUAAGCAGGGUUGGGCCUGGUUAGUACUUGAAUGGGAGACCACCUAGGAAGACCAGGUGCUGUAGGUA